RNAcentral lists this long non-coding RNA (281 nucleotides) under Populus trichocarpa (black cottonwood). Its description in RNAcentral is "long non-coding RNA (PTRI_LNC001737)". The record is from RNAcentral. Lineage: Eukaryota; Viridiplantae; Streptophyta; Magnoliopsida; Malpighiales; Salicaceae.
AUCUCAUUUGCUUGGCGAACAAUCUUCAUGAUCCGAAUUGUGCGAAGAAGAAUGAAAGAAACAGCAGCUGGAAGCCAGGCAAUAAGCAAGAUAAAAGCCUUCGAGUCAUCUCCAUAGAAAGCAUGGUAAACUUGAAGCCAGGCAAUAAGCAAGAUAAAAGCCUUCGAGUCAUCUCCAUAGAAAGCAUGGUAAACUUGUGUCAUAAUUGCACCACUUAGACCAACAAACCCCUUCAACAAGCCUAAAACACUUCCUCUGCUUUCUGGGAAGUUCUUGACGCA